RNAcentral lists this ribosomal RNA (516 nucleotides) under uncultured bacterium. Its description in RNAcentral is "bacterial SSU rRNA". It matches the Rfam family "Bacterial small subunit ribosomal RNA", at positions 8 to 518 of the family's 1533-position model. The record is from RNAcentral.
AGAGUUGAUUAUGGCUCAGGAUGAACGCUAGCGACAGGCUAACACAUGCAAGUCGAGGGCAUCACGGGAGUAGCAAUACAACUGGUGGCGACCGGCGCACGGGUGAGUAACGCGUAUGCAACCUACCUAUCAGAGGGGAAUAACCCGGCGAAAGUCGGACUAAUACCGCAUAAACAGGGGCACCGCAUGGUGAUAUUUGUUAAAGAAAUUCGCUGAUAGAUGGGCAUGCGUUCCAUUAGGUAGUUGGUGAGGUAACGGCUCACCAAGCCGACGAUGGAUAGGGGAACUGAGAGGUUGGUCCCCCACACUGGUACUGAGACACGGACCAGACUCCUACGGGAGGCAGCAGUGAGGAAUAUUGGUCAAUGGGCGGGAGCCUGAACCAGCCAAGUCGCGUGAAAGGAAGAAGGAUCUAUGGUUCGUAAACUUCUUUUGCAGGGGAAUAAAGUGCAGGACGUGUCCUGUUUUGUAUGUACCCUGAGAAUAAGGAUCGGCUAACUCCGUGCCAGCCGCUGC